AUCCUGGACAGGAGUCAGUCCUAGUCAGCGCACAGCAUGGACAUGAAGGUCCCUGCUCAGUUCCUGGGGCUCCUGCUGCUCUGGAUUACAGGUACCAGAUGUGACAUCCAGAUGACCCAGUCUCCAUCCACUUUGUCUGCAUCUCCUGGAGACAGAGUCACCAUCACUUGCCGGGCCAGACAGAACAUUUACUAUGGGUUAAACUGGUACCAGCAGAAACCAGGGGGAGCUCCAAAGCUCCUGAUCUAUCUUGCAAACAAUUUACAAUCUGGGAUCCCCUCCAGAUUUAGUGGCAGUGGAUCUGGGACAGAGUUCACUCUCACCAUCAGUAGCCUGCAGCCUGAAGACAUUGCCACUUAUUACUGUCAACAGUAUUAUGAUAACCUACCCACAGUGAUACAAGCCAUAACAUAA
Non-coding RNA from Dipodomys spectabilis (banner-tailed kangaroo rat), 414 nucleotides. The record is from the annotation of a RefSeq genome assembly. NCBI's taxonomy places the organism in Eukaryota, Metazoa, Chordata, Mammalia, Rodentia, Heteromyidae.